This 381-nucleotide ribosomal RNA is filed under the name Triticum aestivum (bread wheat). Its description in RNAcentral is "partial small subunit ribosomal RNA". The record is from RNAcentral. Lineage: Eukaryota; Viridiplantae; Streptophyta; Magnoliopsida; Poales; Poaceae.
AUGGAGUCAAAUGAUGUUGGUGGUAUUUUUGUUGGAUGGGGGAUGUCAAUAGCUUCAAAACGAGCUAAAGAACGUCAAAAUCGGAGUUCGGAUGAAUUAGUUAAGGACAAAACAAAAAUCAGGCGAAGUCUGAAACUACAGGUUACGGACGUCCGGGAAAGGUCGGAUGUCCGGUCGUCGGACGUCCGAGAAGGUCGGAAAUCCGUAAAUUCACCUCGGGUUAGGGGUUCUGGUCGUCCGGGAAAGGUUAGACAUCCGGUGCUUCGUGGGGGUCUGGACGUCCAUAAAACGCCGGUCGUCCGGUGGGUCGAGGUCAACGCGAAAUUUCAGAUCCGGGACGCGAUUUUGGGCGGAAAUUGGGGAUUUUGGGGUCAAAAUUGA